CUACACAUGCAAGUCGAGCGGUAACAUUUCAAAAGCUUGCUUUUGAAGAUGACGAGCGGCGGACGGGUGAGUAAUGCCUGGGAAUUUGCCCAUUUGUGGGGGAUAACAGUUGGAAACGACUGCUAAUACCGCAUACGCCCUACGGGGGAAAGCAGGGGACCUUCGGGCCUUGCGCUGAUGGAUAAGCCCAGGUGGGAUUAGCUAGUAGGUGAGGUAAAGGCUCACCUAGGCGACGAUCCCUAGCUGGUCUGAGAGGAUGAUCAGCCACACUGGGACUGAGACACGGCCCAGACUCCUACGGGAGGCAGCAGUGGGGAAUAUUGCACAAUGGGGGAAACCCUGAUGCAGCCAUGCCGCGUGUGUGAAGAAGGCCUUCGGGUUGUAAAGCACUUUCAGCGAGGAGGAAAGGGUGUAAGUUAAUACCUUACAUCUGUGACGUUACUCGCAGAAGAAGCACCGGCUAACUCCGUGCCAGCAGCCGCGGUAAUACGGAGGGUGCGAGCGUUAAUCGGAAUUACUGGGCGUAAAGCGUGCGCAGGCGGUUUGUUAAGCGAGAUGUGAAAGCCCCGGGCUCAACCUGGGAACCGCAUUUCGAACUGGCAAACUAGAGUCUUGUAGAGGGGGGUAGAAUUCCAGGUGUAGCGGUGAAAUGCGUAGAGAUCUGGAGGAAUACC
RNAcentral lists this ribosomal RNA (674 nucleotides) under Shewanella algae. RNAcentral describes it as "bacterial SSU rRNA". It matches the Rfam family "Bacterial small subunit ribosomal RNA", at positions 49 to 710 of the family's 1533-position model. The record is from RNAcentral. Lineage: Bacteria; Pseudomonadati; Pseudomonadota; Gammaproteobacteria; Alteromonadales; Shewanellaceae.